UGGCAGCCCAUGCACUACAAUAACAGUGGUAUGGAAAUCUUUGUUUAUGUUUUUGGUGUUGUCACAUCUCUUAAUAAUGAAUUAAUCUACUAAACUGGAGAACAAUACAAAAUGUAUUUUCCGCAAAUUUGUCUCUGCCAUGGAAGACAACAACAUACUGAUAAUGUACAGCUAAAAGACAUAAUUCUUUCUGAAGGAUAAUUGCUCACAUCUUUGUUCAAUUCCAUUUCUGUUCUGUUAUGGCUGCAGCUUGCAUGCACACAAACAACAUUUCACCUAGUGACUUGGCAGGGUCCAAUAGAAUUAAUCAUUGCAGAGGGGGGGGAGAGAGAGAGAGAGAGAGAGAGAGGGAGGGAGAGGGAGAGGGAGAGAGAGAGAGGCCUGAGGCAGUCUAUAGCUCUGCCUUCCUUGCAGGAUUUUCCAGGGGUAUCCGUUCUUACCCCAGGCAUGAUGACUCUCUCGAUGUCCUUGACCACAUCGUCAUAGGUGUCGGGGUCCUCAGGAGCCUCUUGUGGGAUCAGACACCUAAGGUAGCCUGGUUCCACAUCUGGGUAGACCUGCCUCUGCUCAAUGUUCUCCAUAUAAUCUGCAAUGAAGUCCACCAUCUCUUUCCCACGUCUCCGGAACUCGGUUGCAUCCAUCUCCACUGCUAAUACACAAUGACACAUGUGGAACAGGUUAAAACAGCUUUCAGGUGUUUCAGGACUUCGGUGGCGACGUUCCAUAAUGUAAGAAAUUAACUCAAUGAAUGCUUUCAAAUAAAAAAAAAUUAUGCAUUUA
Molecule: long non-coding RNA, 780 nt
Organism: Clupea harengus (Atlantic herring)
Lineage: Eukaryota; Metazoa; Chordata; Actinopteri; Clupeiformes; Clupeidae
Exons: 2
Source: RefSeq, a predicted model, not a curated record